Molecule: ribosomal RNA, 424 nt
Filed under: uncultured bacterium
Lineage: Bacteria
Description: bacterial SSU rRNA
Rfam family: Bacterial small subunit ribosomal RNA
Source: RNAcentral
UGGGGAAUCUUGCACAAUGGGGGAAACCCUGAUGCAGCGACGCCGCGUGAGCGAUGAAGCCCCUCGGGGUGUAAAGCUCUUUCGGCAGGGAAGAUUAUGACGGUACCUGCAAAAGCAGCUGCGGCUAACUACGUGCCAGCAGCCGCGGUAAUACGUAGGCAGCAAGCGUUGUUCGGAGUUACUGGGCGUAAAGGGUGCGUAGGCGGCUUUUUAAGUUUGGUGUGAAAUCUCCCGGCUCAACUGGGAGGGUGCGCCGAAUACUGAGAGGCUAGAGUGUGGGAGAGGAAAGUGGAAUUCCUGGUGUAGCGGUGAAAUGCGUAGAUAUCAGGAGGAACACCGGUGGUGUAAACGGCUUUCUGGACCAUAACUGACGCUGAGGCACGAAAGCGUGGGUAGCAAACAGGAUUAGAUACCCCCGUAGUCC